UGAGAUAAAAUGAUCUUGCCUAACUUU
Molecule: non-coding RNA, 27 nt
Filed under: Mus musculus (house mouse)
Lineage: Eukaryota; Metazoa; Chordata; Mammalia; Rodentia; Muridae
Source: RNAcentral